GUGGCUUUAGAAAGGAGUUUAAUGUUAGCUUUAUAAUCAACUGGAGAUUUUUUGUUGGUAGAGUUACACGAACAUAAUCAUAUAAUCUUUUAUUUAUUUAUUGUAUUAUAUGAUACGUAACAUAAAAUAUAAAGAUUUGGUGUGUAAUAUUUGCUUUCCCUUGGCCUUGUGCUCUAUCGGAGGGGCACUGGCCAUAUACCGUCUAUU
This is a long non-coding RNA of Arabidopsis thaliana (thale cress), 207 nucleotides long. RefSeq annotates it as other RNA. NCBI's taxonomy places the organism in Eukaryota, Viridiplantae, Streptophyta, Magnoliopsida, Brassicales, Brassicaceae. The record is from RefSeq. The transcript has a single exon.